RNAcentral lists this long non-coding RNA (200 nucleotides) under Elaeis guineensis (African oil palm). RNAcentral's name for it is "long non-coding RNA (EGUI_LNC060145)". The record is from RNAcentral. Lineage: Eukaryota; Viridiplantae; Streptophyta; Magnoliopsida; Arecales; Arecaceae.
ACCAUGAUUGAUUAAUAAGGUGAUAGUUGCAGUGCAUAAGCUAGUCUACAAACAAAUAUUCGUUUGAUAUUUGAUUUCCAGCAUUGAUUACAAAGAGUUAACAACCAGUUAUCUGUCUCUUAGGAUGCUUUGCAAGUAAAACCAAAUCAUUAGGAUAGUGUUUGAUCGCUUUGGUUAGAAAAGGGCCACCGAAGGAGGGA